RNAcentral lists this ribosomal RNA (1001 nucleotides) under Bacillus sp. (in: firmicutes). RNAcentral describes it as "bacterial SSU rRNA". It matches the Rfam family "Bacterial small subunit ribosomal RNA", at positions 34 to 1011 of the family's 1533-position model. Lineage: Bacteria; Bacillati; Bacillota; Bacilli; Caryophanales; Bacillaceae. The record is from RNAcentral.
UGGAAAUGGCGGGUGCUAUACAUGCAGUCGAGCGGACAGAAGGGAGCUUGCUCCCGGAUGUUAGCGGCGGACGGGUGAGUAACACGUGGGUAACCUGCCUGUAAGACUGGGAUAACUCCGGGAAACCGGAGCUAAUACCGGAUAGUUCCUUGAACCGCAUGGUUCAAGGAUGAAAGACGGUUUCGGCUGUCACUUACAGAUGGACCCGCGGCGCAUUAGCUAGUUGGUGAGGUAACGGCUCACCAAGGCGACGAUGCGUAGCCGACCUGAGAGGGUGAUCGGCCACACUGGGACUGAGACACGGCCCAGACUCCUACGGGAGGCAGCAGUAGGGAAUCUUCCGCAAUGGACGAAAGUCUGACGGAGCAACGCCGCGUGAGUGAUGAAGGUUUUCGGAUCGUAAAGCUCUGUUGUUAGGGAAGAACAAGUGCAAGAGUAACUGCUUGCACCUUGACGGUACCUAACCAGAAAGCCACGGCUAACUACGUGCCAGCAGCCGCGGUAAUACGUAGGUGGCAAGCGUUGUCCGGAAUUAUUGGGCGUAAAGGGCUCGCAGGCGGUUUCUUAAGUCUGAUGUGAAAGCCCCCGGCUCAACCGGGGAGGGUCAUUGGAAACUGGGAAACUUGAGUGCAGAAGAGGAGAGUGGAAUUCCACGUGUAGCGGUGAAAUGCGUAGAGAUGUGGAGGAACACCAGUGGCGAAGGCGACUCUCUGGUCUGUAACUGACGCUGAGGAGCGAAAGCGUGGGGAGCGAACAGGAUUAGAUACCCUGGUAGUCCACGCCGUAAACGAUGAGUGCUAAGUGUUAGGGGGUUUCCGCCCCUUAGUGCUGCAGCUAACGCAUUAAGCACUCCGCCUGGGGAGUACGGUCGCAAGACUGAAACUCAAAGGAAUUGACGGGGGGCCCGCACAAGCGGUGGGAGCAUGUGGGUUAAAUUCCAAAGCAACGCGAAAAAACCUUACCAGGGUCUUGGACAUCCUUCUGAACAACCCUAAAAGAUA